UCUGUGUACACCAUCCCGCCCCUCUCCCGCUAGAACCACGGCAAGGCAGCGAGCUUCCCCUCCCUUCCAACUACCCCACAUGACAUGCCUUUCCCAGUAAAUCAAGAUAUUGAUGAUGCAAGGGUGGCCGUUCAAGUAACACAAAAUGGCCAGCAGCUCACAUAGUUCAAGCUCAUCAGUUCAAGAAGUAUGUGGUUAGCCAGAAACGGGCUUGAAACGAAGGGGUCGAGAAAACAUUGUACAAAAGAUAAUGAUGACGGAGACGACCACACAUGGUGGAGGACACAGUUCCCGCAUGGGCUCGUCCGAGCAUGGGUUUCCGUACUGAUGUGGCAGCACACAUGUACUGAUGCACCUGUACUGAUGCACAAACUGAUGCAGCAGCACACACAUGUCUUAGAAACAAAGAGUGUCAUGCGACAUCACACACUUACUGAUGCACGCGGCAACACGAGAUGGCCAUGGAGCUAGGCAAACAUGGCGAGGGCUAGUGGCAAUUCAGAACGGGGAGGAUGGCUGUUUUACCGAAUAUUAUGGUCGAGAUUUGACUUGUAUGGUAAGCAGCGCUCGAUUUGGACUGAGAAGCAGGGUCGCCGCUGCCAGCGGGAGGAAGAGAAGGGGUUUGCCCGGGAAGGACCUCGACGGUGGUUAGGGGAAGGAGCAGGAACACGGGCGGCGCGUGGCAGUUCAGGGAACACGUUUAACGGCCCGACGGCGCUGCUGGGGUGCGGGUAGGACGGUCACCAUGUCUGAGGGACUCCUUGGGGCAGGAGAGGAUGGGGCAUGGACCACGAGGUCCGUGGGAAGUGGGAGGUGGUGGUGGGGCGCGCGCCGAUGACCGGGGCCAUGGCGGUUGUGGAAGGUAGUGGUGGCGGGGUGCGCGCUUGCAGCGGGGGCCAUGCCAGCUUUGAAAGGUGGGAGGUGGUGGUGGCAGGGCACACACCGGCGGUGGAGGCUGCUGCGGCUCUGGGGGGUGUUGGUGGCGGGACGCGGGCCGGCGGCGAGGGCCAUGGCGGCUGUGGGAUUGGGGGUCAGGGGUGGGAGGUGGGGGUUGACCGGGAUGUGGGCCAAGGGAACGAGUUUUUUUCUAUUUCCUCGCGGUCGUGUAAUCGGUCCGUCGAGCAUACCACAGUAGAAACUUCCCGACCAACCCCAACCUACCCACCUCCUUCCGCCGGAGGCAGCCGUCGCGGGCGAGCGAGCGACGGCGGUAGCCGGAGCGAGGGAGCCCGCGGCGCCGUGACUGGCCGCUGACGGAUCCACCUCCUUCCAAUCUCCGAUUCCCCACACCCGUCGCCGUACUUCUCCUCAUUUUCUCCCGAUCAAGAGCGCCGACGACCUUGCUCUUCUUCCUCCUCCAGACCAAAUGUGUCACCGGUCCCGCUCCUCUUCCUCCUCCUGGCACGCGCGCCGCCACCCCCGCACCUCCUUCCUCCUCCUGGCACGUGCGCUACCGUCCCCGCGCCUCCUUCCUCCUCCUGGCACCCAUGCCUCCUUCCUCCUCCUAGCACCCGUGCCGCCGCCCCCGCACCUCCUUCCUCCUCCUAGCACGCGCGCCACGGCCGCACUUCCUUACUCCUCCUGCCAUGCGCGCCGCCGCCCUGACCUUCCCUGCCGCACUCUCCUCCCAGGCUCCUGCCGCCGCCCCGACCACAUCUCCACCAGCUCCGGCCACCGCCGCGCCCCAUCUCCCCCGGCUCCCACACCGCGCAUCUCGUCCUGGUGGGGCUUCAUAACCACAGUACCGGACCACCCCAGGCCAUUCAACGCCACCAACCCGGUCCGUUCAUUGCAGCAACACCCAGGAUCUGGCUACCACCAUGUCGUUCCCACGGUGACGUUCGAUGGAGCACCUCGUCUCUCUCCUGCUGCAGGGAGGCCCACCUACUGCACUAUGGAGUGAGCUGUAAAAAAUAAAAAUGUGGCAAAUUAGGUAGAGAUUAAACAUCCCCCGAAGCACAUCGUCGGUGUCCAUGAGCGGGGCUCCCGUGGAUGGCUGGAUCCUGUCGGCGGCGUCGAUAGCAUCCACGAGCGCGAGCACCCCACAUCCGGCGUCGCGACCUCUUCCUUCUGUAGGUCACCGCCUCCUGCUUCUGUAGGCCGUGCCCCAUCCCCCGAUUCCCGCAGCAGACAUGCCGUUCACCGCCGGCACCACAGUCUGUUCAUUGCCGACAACCGAGGCCGUUCAACGGCGCAACGACGAGAUCUAGCCUUCCCCCUUCCUCUUUACAUGUAUCUUUGUAUUCUGUUUCAGUUCAUCUACGUGUCGAUCAUAAGUUUGAUUUCAUCUGUGUUUCCAUGUUAUUCCUGUAUAGUACAAUGGGUAUUUGUAUUUAGUUCAGUUCAUCUACUUGCCGAUUGUAAGUCCAAUUACAUAUGUUUUUCCAUGUUCUUCAUACAGUAUGAGAAGAUUUGUAGAUGCACAACAGAGUUUGCAGACUGCCAUGUUAAACAAUGUCAACAGGCAACAAGCAGCAAGGGAAAAAGAAGAGCAAGAUUGACAUCAGUAGUCAAAAAUAAUAGAACAUCAGUUCUAAAAUUCCCCGCGCAUUAGUACACCUAUUUCUGGUUCUCUAGAUUGGUCUUGGUACAGGAUACAUCUUAAGCUUGGUCUUGGUACAGGAUACAUCUUAAGCUGGAGUUCGUCGCUAAGCAGAUGGAGAUGUGUGUAUGUAUACAUGUGUUCUGGAGAUAGGAGAACUUAUCUGGUGGUGUGUGUGUGCUGCUGCAUCCUCUUCCAGCCGCUCUAAUUCACACCUUCAGUACAACUUCUUUCAGCGAGGUGGAGAUUGGGGCACGGUGGAGUGUGACCGUGUGUGUGCAGACGGCCCGCCGCAACGUCAUAGUUGGAUGCAUUUCAUAGUUGGAUGGCUACUGAUCUCUCUAAAACCUUGGGAGCAGUGCUUGCAUUACUAGUCCAACCAUACUAGGGCUGGGGGAGAAGGCAGAACCUCUUGGUGCAUGAUGGAAAAAAUUGCAAGUUCUUGUUUGGAUGUUCAGCAUACCCUUCUCUCAUUUCAUUUAUGUUCAGGAUAGCAGGUGCAUGAUGGAAAAUUGUGUAUCAUGUAGUUCUUGUUUAUAUGUCGUGCUAGUUCAAAAAUUGUCGAUUUUGCCACUAGAGAGAACACGUUGGUUGCAUUGUUUUUCCAGUGUGACGUCCCUUUGUAUAUUAGGAGUAUUGUUAUUGUUGCUCUGCAUGCAAAUGAAUUAGCUUGUCCUGCUAAGAUGAGGAUGUUUGUGCCUGA
This is a non-coding RNA of Triticum urartu, 3245 nucleotides long. NCBI's taxonomy places the organism in Eukaryota, Viridiplantae, Streptophyta, Magnoliopsida, Poales, Poaceae. The record is from RefSeq and is a predicted model, not a curated record.